Molecule: ribosomal RNA, 755 nt
Filed under: uncultured bacterium
Lineage: Bacteria
Description: bacterial SSU rRNA
Rfam family: Bacterial small subunit ribosomal RNA
Source: RNAcentral
GCCCAUCACUUGGGGAUAACCUUUGCGAAAGUAAGACUAAUACCCAAUGAUAUCUCUAGAAGACAUCUGAAAGAGAUUAAAGAUUUAUCGGUGAUGGAUGGGGAUGCGUCUGAUUAGCUUGUUGGCGGGGUAACGGCCCACCAAGGCAACGAUCAGUAGGGGUUCUGAGAGGAAGGUCCCCCACAUUGGAACUGAGACACGGUCCAAACUCCUACGGGAGGCAGCAGUGAGGAAUAUUGGUCAAUGGGCGAGAGCCUGAACCAGCCAAGUAGCGUGCAGGAUGACGGCCCUAUGGGUUGUAAACUGCUUUUAUAAGGGAAUAAAGUGAGCCUCGUGAGGCUUUUUGCAUGUACCUUAUGAAUAAGGACCGGCUAAUUCCGUGCCAGCAGCCGCGGUAAUACGGAAGGUCCGGGCGUUAUCCGGAUUUAUUGGGUUUAAAGGGAGCGUAGGCCGGAGAUUAAGCGUGUUGUGAAAUGUAGACGCUCAACGUCUGCACUGCAGCGCGAACUGGUUUCCUUGAGUACGCACAAAGUGGGCGGAAUUCGUGGUGUAGCGGUGAAAUGCUUAGAUAUCACGAAGAACUCCGAUUGCGAAGGCAGCUCACUGGAGCGCAACUGACGCUGAAGCUCGAAAGUGCGGGUAUCGAACAGGAUUAGAUACCCUGGUAGUCCGCACGGUAAACGAUGGAUGCCCGCUGUUGGUCUGAAUAGGUCAGCGGCCAAGCGAAAGCAUUAAGCAUCCCACCUGGGGAGUAC